Molecule: ribosomal RNA, 460 nt
Filed under: uncultured bacterium
Lineage: Bacteria
Description: partial 16S ribosomal RNA
Rfam family: Bacterial small subunit ribosomal RNA
Source: RNAcentral
CCUACGGGUGGCAGCAGUGAGGAAUAUUGGUCAAUGGCCGGAAGGCUGAACCAGCCAAGCCGCGUGAGUGAAUAAGGCACUAUGGGUCGUAAACCUCUUUUGUCAGGGAGCAAAGGCUUCCACGAGUGGACGAAAGAAUAGUACCUGAAAAAAAAGCUUCGCCUAACUCCUUGCCAGCAGCCGCGGUAAUACGGAGGUUGCGAGCUUUACCCGUAUUCAUUGGUUUUAAGGGGUGCGUAGGCGGAGUUUCAAUUCAGCGGUAAAAUUUCGGGGCUCAACCCCGUCGUGCCGUUGAAACUGGAAGCCUUGAGUGGGUGAGAAGUAAGCGGAAUGCGUGGUGUAGCGGUGAAAUGCAUAGAUAUCGCGCAGAACGCCGAUUGCGAAGGCAGCUUACCGGCGCUCAACUGACGCUGAGGCACGAAAGUGCGGGUAUCGAACAGGAUUAGAUACCCGUGUAGUC